Molecule: ribosomal RNA, 468 nt
Filed under: uncultured bacterium
Lineage: Bacteria
Description: partial 16S ribosomal RNA
Rfam family: Bacterial small subunit ribosomal RNA
Source: RNAcentral
GACGAACGCUGGCGGCGUGCUUAACACAUGCAAGUCGAACGGAAAGGCCCUGCUUUUGUGGGGUGCUCGAGUGGCGAACGGGUGAGUAACACGUGAGUAACCUGCCCUUGACUUUGGGAUAACUUCAGGAAACUGGGGCUAAUACCGGAUAGGAGCUCCUGCUGCAUGGUGGGGGUUGGAAAGUUUCGGCGGUUGGGGAUGGACUCGCGGCUUAUCAGCUUGUUGGUGGGGUAGUGGCUUACCAAGGCUUUGACGGGUAGCCGGCCUGAGAGGGUGACCGGCCACAUUGGGACUGAGAUACGGCCCAGACUCCUUCGGGAGGCAGCAGUGGGGAAUAUUGCACAAUGGGAGGAAGCCUGAUGCAGCAACGCCGCGUGCGGGAUGACGGCCUUCGGGUUGUAAACCGCUUUCGCCUGUGACGAAGCGUGAGUGACGGUAAUGGGUAAAGAAGCACCGGCUAACUACGUG